GGGUGGUCCGAUGAUAGUGGGUUAUCAGAACUUAUUAAUAUUAGUGUCACUAAAAUUAGUAUACCAUCCCUCACUGCUAAAAUUGACAGGCUUAAU
This is an unclassified non-coding RNA of Cercocebus atys (sooty mangabey), 96 nucleotides long. It matches the Rfam family "Y RNA". From Rfam's summary of the family: Y RNAs are components of the Ro ribonucleoprotein particle (Ro RNP), in association with Ro60 and La proteins. The Y RNAs and Ro60 and La proteins are well conserved, but the function of the Ro RNP is not known. The record is from Ensembl. Lineage: Eukaryota; Metazoa; Chordata; Mammalia; Primates; Cercopithecidae.